This is a non-coding RNA of Propithecus coquereli (Coquerel's sifaka), 1146 nucleotides long. The record is from the annotation of a RefSeq genome assembly. NCBI's taxonomy places the organism in Eukaryota, Metazoa, Chordata, Mammalia, Primates, Indriidae.
AUGGGCCCCCGGCUCCUUGGCUGUGUGGUCCUUUGCCUCCUGGGAGCAGGCCCCGUGGAAGCCCAAGUGACCCAGACUCCGAGAAACCGCAUCACGGAGACUGGAAAGAAUGUGACAGUGACCUGUUCUCAGAACAUGAACCAUGAAUACAUGUCCUGGUAUCGACAAGACCCAGGGCUGGGUCUAAAGCUGAUCUACUAUUCAGCUAAGGUGGAGUUUGUGACUAAGGGAGACGCUCCUGACGGCUACACUGCCUCUCGGAGAGAGAAGCCGAGCUUCUCCCUGAACGUGGAGUCCACGCGCACCAGCCAGACGGCGCUGUACCUCUGUGCCAGCAGCUUAUCCACAGCGCUGCACUACGAGCAGCAUUUCGGACCCGGCACCAGGCUCACGGUCACAGAGGACCUGAAAAAGGUGACCCCGCCCAAGGUGGCUGUGUUUGAACCCUCGGAAGCAGAGAUCUCCCGGACCCACAAAGCCACGCUCGUGUGCCUGGCCACAGGCUUCUACCCCGACCACGUGGAGCUGAGCUGGUGGGUGAACGGGAAGGAGGUCCAGAGUGCGGUCAGCACGGACCCCCAGCCCUACAAGGAGCAGCCCAGCCUCAACGACUCCACCUACUGCCUGAGCAGCCGCCUGAGGGUCUCAGCCACCUUCUGGCACAAUCCCCGCAACCACUUCCGCUGCCAAGUCCAGUUCUUCGGGCUCACAGAGGAAGACGAGUGGACCCAGGACACAGCCAAACCCAUCACCCAGAACAUCAGUGCUGAGGCCUGGGGCAGAGCAGACUGUGGCUUCACCUCAAUGUCCUACCACCAAGGGGUCCUGUCCGCCACUGUCCUCUACGAGAUCCUGCUGGGGAAGGCCACCCUGUAUGCUGUGCUGGUCAGCGCCCUCGUGCUGAUGGCCAUGAUCAAGAGGAAGGACUCCUGAGGCCAGCUCCAAAAGUGCAUCCUGAGUCGUUCUUCAUCCUCACCUGGGAUUCUCCUGUACCAGCUCCCACCUGUGUCCCUAAAGAGUUAUUGUGUCUCCACCUCUCAUCCCCUUUCUACGUGGACAUCUGUCCUUUUUCUCUGUUUCCCCGCAGACGGAGCUCCCAACCCCCAAGUCUGUAAUAGACUAAAGCAAUAAACAUGGCGUGCUGGG